Non-coding RNA from Aspergillus leporis, 89 nucleotides. The record is from the annotation of a GenBank genome assembly. Lineage: Eukaryota; Fungi; Ascomycota; Eurotiomycetes; Eurotiales; Aspergillaceae.
GGUCGACUGGCCCAGUGGUUAAGGCACUCGCUUUACAGACUUUUAUAUAUGUCCGCGAGGGAUCCCAGGUUCGAUCCCUGGGUCGAUCA